Salmo trutta (river trout) is the source of this 933-nucleotide long non-coding RNA. Ensembl annotates it as ATP synthase membrane subunit DAPIT, mitochondrial-like. The record is from Ensembl. NCBI's taxonomy places the organism in Eukaryota, Metazoa, Chordata, Actinopteri, Salmoniformes, Salmonidae.
CCGACAUUGCCGCUUGUGUAACUGUCAUUGGAUGGGAUUUUGAAUGUUAAUGCCUGACUGGGUACAUACACUGUCCAUCAAAUGAAACCGGAAGAAAGGUUACAUAUCAAAACAAUGUGUAAGGAAGUAUAGUGGUGUGUCCUUACCGAGCUGUUACGGUGAGUGUAUUGUGGCAUGAUAUUCUAACUGUUGUCUGGUUUGAAACGCCGGUUGUUUAUUUGCAUGUGUUGUAGCAGGCUAGUGAACGUGACAUGAACCUAACCUUCAGCCAAUAAUGUUAUCUUGUUGUGAACCGUUUCCUCAGCCAUGCCAACUUCCCCGGUAAAGACUCGGAUCCCGCUCACGAGCUUCGGUCAUCUGAUCACCGAGGUGAAGAGACAGUUGUUUGGUAUGGAGGCUCCAGCUACUGUUAACCUGACUGGCUGGAGGAGACAUUUCAACAGCUACACACUACAGGGCCGACGCAACUUUGUCCUGGCUACCUAUGGUGUCCUAGCGUUGUCAGCAGCAGCCUAUAUGAUACACAAACGGAGUAAAGAGGACCCCAGAGUAGCCAGCCCCACUGCCUGACUGACACCCUCUCUCAAUGUCCAACGCUUUAUUGACCUGAUAUUCACAUUGUUUUCCAAUACUACCAAAUCAGAGAUUCAUAACAGCAGCGCUCUCCCUCUCUUCCGCUCUCUCUCUCUCCCUCCCUCUCUCCCUCCCUCUCUUCCGCUCCCUCCCUCCCUCUCGCUCUCUCUCUCAAUGUUAAUAAAUAGAAUUUAAUCCAGUCACGAUGUCUCUGUGUCGUCUUGGUUUAAUCUCUAACCCAGAAUAGAACAGAGCAGAAUCCAUUCUGGUAUUCAGACUAACCGGUAACCAUGACAACACCCUACUGGGAGCUCCAGGCUGUAGCGUGUAUGUCUGGCCACAGGGUGGCGCUGGGGAGAG